GUGUUAAUCCUAUUUUUCCUUGGAGACAAUAUGGUUGACUGGAGAAACUGUAACACUGUGGCAUUGCAAGACAACCAGAUUGCAAGGUUCCUUAACCAGACGAUAUCAUGGGAGAUGUAGUUUGACCAAGGAGCCUGGCCCAUACUGGAGAAUGGGACCAUGAGGCACCAGGACUACAGCACCAGUGAAGCACCUGUCCAGCCUUUCCAAAUCGAAGCGUUUCCGUUUUCAACAACUGAUUGUUUUGAUGAAAGCUCAGCACUUUCUGUGGAAAAAUUUGACCUAAACAAUGUUUUUGCAGUGUCGUCAGCUCCUGCAGGUGGGUCUCAGCCAUGGUCACCUGGUCUCGGAUGCGGGAGCUCAUCUGUUCACAGUUCUUCAUUUGGAUCUCCAGCUGACUGAGCUUCAUUCCCUUUUGCUUCUGCUCAUCUGCCA
This is a non-coding RNA of Pelodiscus sinensis (Chinese soft-shelled turtle), 435 nucleotides long. Lineage: Eukaryota; Metazoa; Chordata; Testudines; Trionychidae. The record is from RefSeq and is a predicted model, not a curated record.